GACGAACGCUGGCGGCGUGCCUAAUACAUGCAAGUAGAACGCUGAAGAGAGGAGCUUGCUCUUCUUGGAUGAGUUGCGAACGGGUGAGUAACGCGUAGGUAACCUGCCUUGUAGCGGGGGAUAACUAUUGGAAACGAUAGCUAAUACCGCAUAACAAUGGAUGACACAUGUCAUUUAUUUGAAAGGGGCAAUUGCUCCACUACAAGAUGGACCUGCGUUGUAUUAGCUAGUAGGUGAGGUAAUGGCUCACCUAGGCGACGAUACAUAGCCGACCGGAGAGGGUGAUCGGCCACACUGGGACUGAGACACGGCCCAGACUCCUACGGGAGGCAGCAGUAGGGAAUCUUCGGCAAUGGGGGCAACCCUGACCGAGCAACGCCGCGUGAGUGAAGAAGGUUUUCGGAUCGUAAAGCUCUGUUGUAAGUCAAGAACGGGUGUGAGAGUGGAAAGUUCACACUGUGACGGUAGCUUACCAGAAAGGGACGGCUAACUACGUG
Molecule: ribosomal RNA, 497 nt
Filed under: uncultured bacterium
Lineage: Bacteria
Description: partial 16S ribosomal RNA
Rfam family: Bacterial small subunit ribosomal RNA
Source: RNAcentral